RNAcentral lists this ribosomal RNA (2760 nucleotides) under Staphylococcus aureus OCMM6003. RNAcentral's name for it is "bacterial LSU rRNA". It matches the Rfam family "Bacterial large subunit ribosomal RNA". The record is from RNAcentral. Lineage: Bacteria; Bacillati; Bacillota; Bacilli; Caryophanales; Staphylococcaceae.
UUAAGUUAUUAAGGGCGCACGGUGGAUGCCUUGGCACUAGAAGCCGAUGAAGGACGUUACUAACGACGAUAUGCUUUGGGGAGCUGUAAGUAAGCUUUGAUCCAGAGAUUUCCGAAUGGGGAAACCCAGCAUGAGUUAUGUCAUGUUAUCGAUAUGUGAAUACAUAGCAUAUCAGAAGGCACACCCGGAGAACUGAAACAUCUUAGUACCCGGAGGAAGAGAAAGAAAAUUCGAUUCCCUUAGUAGCGGCGAGCGAAACGGGAAGAGCCCAAACCAACAAGCUUGCUUGUUGGGGUUGUAGGACACUCUAUACGGAGUUACAAAGGACGACAUUAGACGAAUCAUCUGGAAAGAUGAAUCAAAGAAGGUAAUAAUCCUGUAGUCGAAAAUGUUGUCUCUCUUGAGUGGAUCCUGAGUACGACGGAGCACGUGAAAUUCCGUCGGAAUCUGGGAGGACCAUCUCCUAAGGCUAAAUACUCUCUAGUGACCGAUAGUGAACCAGUACCGUGAGGGAAAGGUGAAAAGCACCCCGGAAGGGGAGUGAAAUAGAACCUGAAACCGUGUGCUUACAAGUAGUCAGAGCCCGUUAAUGGGUGAUGGCGUGCCUUUUGUAGAAUGAACCGGCGAGUUACGAUUUGAUGCAAGGUUAAGCAGUAAAUGUGGAGCCGUAGCGAAAGCGAGUCUGAAUAGGGCGUUUAGUAUUUGGUCGUAGACCCGAAACCAGGUGAUCUACCCUUGGUCAGGUUGAAGUUCAGGUAACACUGAAUGGAGGACCGAACCGACUUACGUUGAAAAGUGAGCGGAUGAACUGAGGGUAGCGGAGAAAUUCCAAUCGAACCUGGAGAUAGCUGGUUCUCUCCGAAAUAGCUUUAGGGCUAGCCUCAAGUGAUGAUUAUUGGAGGUAGAGCACUGUUUGGACGAGGGGCCCCUCUCGGGUUACCGAAUUCAGACAAACUCCGAAUGCCAAUUAAUUUAACUUGGGAGUCAGAACAUGGGUGAUAAGGUCCGUGUUCGAAAGGGAAACAGCCCAGACCACCAGCUAAGGUCCCAAAAUAUAUGUUAAGUGGAAAAGGAUGUGGCGUUGCCCAGACAACUAGGAUGUUGGCUUAGAAGCAGCCAUCAUUUAAAGAGUGCGUAAUAGCUCACUAGUCGAGUGACACUGCGCCGAAAAUGUACCGGGGCUAAACAUAUUACCGAAGCUGUGGAUUGUCCUUUGGACAAUGGUAGGAGAGCGUUCUAAGGGCGUUGAAGCAUGAUCGUAAGGACAUGUGGAGCGCUUAGAAGUGAGAAUGCCGGUGUGAGUAGCGAAAGACGGGUGAGAAUCCCGUCCACCGAUUGACUAAGGUUUCCAGAGGAAGGCUCGUCCGCUCUGGGUUAGUCGGGUCCUAAGCUGAGGCCGACAGGCGUAGGCGAUGGAUAACAGGUUGAUAUUCCUGUACCACCUAUAAUCGUUUUAAUCGAUGGGGGGACGCAGUAGGAUAGGCGAAGCGUGCGAUUGGAUUGCACGUCUAAGCAGUAAGGCUGAGUAUUAGGCAAAUCCGGUACUCGUUAAGGCUGAGCUGUGAUGGGGAGAAGACAUUGUGUCUUCGAGUCGUUGAUUUCACACUGCCGAGAAAAGCCUCUAGAUAGAAAAUAGGUGCCCGUACCGCAAACCGACACAGGUAGUCAAGAUGAGAAUUCUAAGGUGAGCGAGCGAACUCUCGUUAAGGAACUCGGCAAAAUGACCCCGUAACUUCGGGAGAAGGGGUGCUCUUUAGGGUUAACGCCCAGAAGAGCCGCAGUGAAUAGGCCCAAGCGACUGUUUAUCAAAAACACAGGUCUCUGCUAAACCGUAAGGUGAUGUAUAGGGGCUGACGCCUGCCCGGUGCUGGAAGGUUAAGAGGAGUGGUUAGCUUCUGCGAAGCUACGAAUCGAAGCCCCAGUAAACGGCGGCCGUAACUAUAACGGUCCUAAGGUAGCGAAAUUCCUUGUCGGGUAAGUUCCGACCCGCACGAAAGGCGUAACGAUUUGGGCACUGUCUCAACGAGAGACUCGGUGAAAUCAUAGUACCUGUGAAGAUGCAGGUUACCCGCGACAGGACGGAAAGACCCCGUGGAGCUUUACUGUAGCCUGAUAUUGAAAUUCGGCACAGCUUGUACAGGAUAGGUAGGAGCCUUUGAAACGUGAGCGCUAGCUUACGUGGAGGCGCUGGUGGGAUACUACCCUAGCUGUGUUGGCUUUCUAACCCGCACCACUUAUCGUGGUGGGAGACAGUGUCAGGCGGGCAGUUUGACUGGGGCGGUCGCCUCCUAAAAGGUAACGGAGGCGCUCAAAGGUUCCCUCAGAAUGGUUGGAAAUCAUUCAUAGAGUGUAAAGGCAUAAGGGAGCUUGACUGCGAGACCUACAAGUCGAGCAGGGUCGAAAGACGGACUUAGUGAUCCGGUGGUUCCGCAUGGAAGGGCCAUCGCUCAACGGAUAAAAGCUACCCCGGGGAUAACAGGCUUAUCUCCCCCAAGAGUUCACAUCGACGGGGAGGUUUGGCACCUCGAUGUCGGCUCAUCGCAUCCUGGGGCUGUAGUCGGUCCCAAGGGUUGGGCUGUUCGCCCAUUAAAGCGGUACGCGAGCUGGGUUCAGAACGUCGUGAGACAGUUCGGUCCCUAUCCGUCGUGGGCGUAGGAAAUUUGAUAGGAGCUGUCCUUAGUACGAGAGGACCGGGAUGGACAUACCUCUGGUGUACCAGUUGUCGUGCCAACGGCAUAGCUGGGUAGCUAUGUGUGGACG